GCUGGGAUGGUGGAACUGGCAGACACGAUAGGUUGAGGGCCUAUUGCCGCAAGGCGUGGGGGUUCAAAUCCCCCUCCCAGCA
RNAcentral lists this transfer RNA (82 nucleotides) under Candidatus Omnitrophota bacterium. Its description in RNAcentral is "Candidatus Omnitrophica bacterium (groundwater metagenome) tRNA-Leu". It matches the Rfam family "tRNA". Rfam says of the family: Transfer RNA (tRNA) molecules are approximately 80 nucleotides in length. Their secondary structure includes four short double-helical elements and three loops (D, anti-codon, and T loops). Further hydrogen bonds mediate the characteristic L-shaped molecular structure. tRNAs have two regions of fundamental functional importance: the anti-codon, which is responsible for specific mRNA codon recognition, and the 3' end, to which the tRNAs corresponding amino acid is attached (by aminoacyl-tRNA synthetases). tRNAs cope with the degeneracy of the genetic code in two manners: having more than one tRNA (with a specific anti-codon) for a particular amino acid; and 'wobble' base-pairing, i.e. permitting non-standard base-pairing at the 3rd anti-codon position. The record is from RNAcentral. Lineage: Bacteria; Pseudomonadati; Candidatus Omnitrophota.